GACGAACGCUGGCGGCGUGCUUAACACAUGCAAGUCGAACGGAAAGGCCCCGCUUGCAGGGUACUCGAGUGGCGAACGGGUGAGUAACACGUGGGUGAUCUGCCCUGCACUUCGGGAUAAGCCUGGGAAACUGGGUCUAAUACCGGAUAGGAGCCAUUUUUAGUGUGAUGGUUGGAAAGUUUUUUCGGUGUAGGAUGAGCUCGCGGCCUAUCAGCUUGUUGGUGGGGUAAUGGCCUACCAAGGCGGCGACGGGUAGCCGGCCUGAGAGGGUGGACGGCCACAUUGGGACUGAGAUACGGCCCAGACUCCUACGGGAGGCAGCAGUGGGGAAUAUUGCACAAUGGGCGCAAGCCUGAUGCAGCGACGCCGCGUGGGGGAUGACGGCCUUCGGGUUGUAAACUCCUUUCGCUAGGGACGAAGCUUUUUGUGACGGUACCUAGAGAAGAAGCACCGGCUAACUACGUG
RNAcentral lists this ribosomal RNA (465 nucleotides) under uncultured bacterium. Its description in RNAcentral is "partial 16S ribosomal RNA". It matches the Rfam family "Bacterial small subunit ribosomal RNA", at positions 28 to 507 of the family's 1533-position model. The record is from RNAcentral.